UACGUAGGGUGCAAGCGUUGUCCGGAAUUAUUGGGCGUAAAGAGCUCGUAGGCGGUCUGUCGCGUCGGUCGUGAAAACUUGGGGCUUAACCCUGAGCUUGCGGUCGAUACGGGCAUGACUGGAGUUCGGCAGGGGAGACUGGAAUUCCUGGUGCAGCGGUGAAAUGCGCAGAUAUCAGGAGGAACACCGGUGGCGAAGGCGGGUCUCUGGGCCGAUACUGACGCUGAGGAGCGAAAGCGUGGGGAGCAAACAGG
This 254-nucleotide ribosomal RNA is filed under the name uncultured bacterium. RNAcentral describes it as "partial 16S ribosomal RNA". It matches the Rfam family "Bacterial small subunit ribosomal RNA", at positions 524 to 776 of the family's 1533-position model. The record is from RNAcentral.